Molecule: ribosomal RNA, 492 nt
Filed under: uncultured bacterium
Lineage: Bacteria
Description: bacterial SSU rRNA
Rfam family: Bacterial small subunit ribosomal RNA
Source: RNAcentral
GAUGAACGCUAGCUACAGGCUUAACACAUGCAAGUCGAGGGGAAACGAUAUUGGAAGCUUGCUUCCGAUAGGCGUCGACCGGCGCACGGGUGAGUAACGCGUAUCCAACCUGCCCACCACUUGGGGAUAACCUUGCGAAAGUAAGACUAAUACCCAAUGACGUCUCUAGAAGACAUCUGAAAGAGAUUAAAGAUUUAUCGGUGAUGGAUGGGGAUGCGUCUGAUUAGCUUGUUGGCGGGGUAACGGCCCACCAAGGCGACGAUCGGUAGGGGUUCUGAGAGGAAGGUCCCCCACAUUGGAACUGAGACACGGUCCAAACUCCUACGGGAGGCAGCAGUGAGGAAUAUUGGUCAAUGGGCGAGAGCCUGAACCAGCCAAGUAGCGUGCAGGACGACGGCCCUAUGGGUUGUAAACUGCUUUUAUGCGGGGAUAAAGUCAGGGACGUGUCCCUGUUUGCAUGUACCACAGGAAUAAGGACUGGCUAAUUCCGUG